This 254-nucleotide ribosomal RNA is filed under the name uncultured bacterium. RNAcentral describes it as "partial 16S ribosomal RNA". It matches the Rfam family "Bacterial small subunit ribosomal RNA", at positions 524 to 776 of the family's 1533-position model. The record is from RNAcentral.
UACAGAGGUCCCAAGCGUUGUUCGGAUUCACUGGGCGUAAAGGGUGCGUAGGUGGCUUGGUAAGUUUGAUGUGAAAUCUCCGGGCUUAACCCGGAAAUGGCAUUGAAUACUAUUGAGCUGGAGGUUUGGAGGGGGGACUGGAAUUCUCGGUGUAGCAGUGAAAUGCGUAGAUAUCGAGAGGAACACCAGUGGCGAAGGCGAGUCCCUGGACAACACCUGACACUGAGGCACGAAAGCUAGGGGGAGCAAACAGG